GAUGAACGCUAGCGGCAGGCCUAAUACAUGCAAGUCGAACGGUAAGUGUUAUAGCAAUAUGACACCAAGAGUGACGCGCGGGUGCGUAACACGUAUGCAACCUACCCUUUACAGGCGGAUAGCUCGGGGAAACUCGAAUUAACCCGCCAUAAUAUAAUUGGAUGGCAUCAUUUGAUUAUUAAACUGAGGUGGUAAAGGAU
This 200-nucleotide ribosomal RNA is filed under the name uncultured bacterium. RNAcentral describes it as "partial 16S ribosomal RNA". It matches the Rfam family "Bacterial small subunit ribosomal RNA", at positions 28 to 226 of the family's 1533-position model. The record is from RNAcentral.